Molecule: unclassified non-coding RNA, 87 nt
Filed under: Pseudomonas fragi
Lineage: Bacteria; Pseudomonadati; Pseudomonadota; Gammaproteobacteria; Pseudomonadales; Pseudomonadaceae
Source: RNAcentral
UGUGGGAGCGGGCUUGCUCGCGAUUCAGGCGCCCUGGUUUCUCAGGUAAACCGCGCCGAUACAAUCGCGAGCAAGCCCGCUCCCACA